AUUGAACGCUGGCGGCAUGCUUUACACAUGCAAGUCGAACGGUAACAGGCCGCAAGGUGCUGACGAGUGGCGAACGGGUGAGUAAUGCAUCGGAACGUGCCCAGUCGUGGGGGAUAACUACUCGAAAGAGUAGCUAAUACCGCAUACGAUCUAUGGAUGAAAGCGGGGACCGUAAGGCCUCGCGCGAUUGGAGCGGGCGAUGUCAGAUUAGGUAGUUGGUGGGGUAAAGGCUCACCAAGCCAACGAUCUGUAGCGGGUCUGAGAGGACGACCAGCCACACUGGGACUGAGACACGGCCCAGACUCCUACGGGAGGCAGCAGUGGGGAAUUUUGGACAAUGGGCGCAAGCCUGAUCCAGCAAUGCCGCGUGCAGGAAGAAGGCCUUCGGGUUGUAAACUGCUUUUGUACGGAACGAAACGGCUCUGGUUAAUACCCGGGGCUAAUGACGGUACCGUAAGAAUAAGCACCGGCUAACUACGUG
This 481-nucleotide ribosomal RNA is filed under the name uncultured bacterium. Its description in RNAcentral is "partial 16S ribosomal RNA". It matches the Rfam family "Bacterial small subunit ribosomal RNA", at positions 30 to 507 of the family's 1533-position model. The record is from RNAcentral.